CCUACGGGGGGCAGCAGUGAGGAAUAUUGGUCAAUGGACGAGAGUCUGAACCAGCCAAGUAGCGUGAAGGAUGACUGCCCUAUGGGUUGUAAACUUCUUUUAUAUGGGAAUAAAGUGAGCCACGUGUGGCUUUUUGUAUGUACCAUACGAAUAAGGAUCGGCUAACUCCGUGCCAGCAGCCGCGGUAAUACGGAGGGUGCGAGCGUUAUCCGGAUUUAUUGGGUUUAAAGGGUGCGUAGGCGGGACGGUAAGUCAGCGGUAAAAAUGCGGAGCUCAACUCCGUCGAGCCGUUGAAACUGCCGUUC
Molecule: ribosomal RNA, 305 nt
Filed under: uncultured bacterium
Lineage: Bacteria
Description: bacterial SSU rRNA
Rfam family: Bacterial small subunit ribosomal RNA
Source: RNAcentral